RNA transcript from Zea mays, 1774 nucleotides. It is a transcript of the gene named DNA polymerase eta, with no coding region annotated. The record is from RefSeq and is marked validated. Lineage: Eukaryota; Viridiplantae; Streptophyta; Magnoliopsida; Poales; Poaceae.
AUCGACGGCCGGAGCAGCCAAAUCUACCGGGUCGAUGACUGAAUCGACUGGCACAGCGACCAAAUCUACUGUCGGUGGGCAGCAGGCGAUCCCCUGGAGGCCGGAUCGGUGAUUAGGGACUUGGAGGCGUGGGCUGCUGCUAGGGUUUCGGUGGAGGUUGCCGGCGUGAAGCAUUGGCCACCGAGUGCUGCACGCCAACAGCCAACAGGGGGUACCGUGCAGGUGGGCAGAAGCAGCCAGCGACAACAGUAGGGCACAGGGAUUUAUAUGGACCUUCCAAAUACACUAGACAUUUGCAAGCAACCAAAGAUACUCUCAGAGAAGAAGGUUGUGAACACACAUCUGCAGAGAUAAAAAGGAGUGCCAUCAAUGGCAGCCACAGAUUGGGCAUGAAGUGUAUCCACUAUGAGAUCAAUGUGUUGCUUUUUCGUGUUUAAUAAUUUGAGUUAUAAUAUAUGGUUUGCUUCUAAUGUUUUUUAUUUAUUUUUUAUUUUGGCAAUGCAGGGGACAUAACUCCUCCAACAGGGAUUAGGCAGGCUAUGGAGAUGCAGGCUGAAGUAGAAAGGAGAAUAUGUGCCCAAGUCCUUGAAUCAGAAGGGAAGAAACAAGCCCAAGUCCUUGAAUUAGAAGGGAAGAAAACUGCCCAGAUCCUUUAAUCCGAAGUCGAGCAGCGGAGGAACCCGGCGCUCAGGGGAUAGCCAACCGUCGUGGUGCAGUACAAUGGCUGGAAAGGCGGCGGCUUGAUUGCCGUCAGCUACGAGGCUCGUGGAUUUGGUGUGAAGAGGUCCAUGCGCGGAGAUGAGGCCAAGAGGGUCUGUCCUGGUAUUAAUCUUGUUCAGGUCCCAGUGGCGCGUGGCAAGGCUAACCUUAAUCUUUACAGAAGUGCUGGUGCUGAGGUUGUUGCAAUCCUUGCAAGCAAAGGGAAGUGCGAGCGGGCAUCCAUCGACGAAGUUUAUCUUGACCUUACUGAUGCAGCAAAGGAAAUGCUCUUACAAGCUCCCCCAGAUUCACCAGAGGGGAUUUUUAUGGAGGCGGCAAAGUCAAAUAUCUUGGGCCUUCCGGCUGAUGCCAGCGAGAAGGAAAAGAAUGUGAGGGCAUGGCUUUGUCAAUCAGAAGCUGAUUACCAGGACAAGUUACUGGCAUGUGGAGCUAUAAUUGUUGCACAGUUACGAGUCAGAGUUCUGGAGGAAACCCAAUUCACAUGCUCUGCUGGGAUUGCUCACAAUAAGAUGUUAGCUAAACUUGUCAGUGGAAUGUACAAGCCUGCUCAGCAAACAGUUGUCCCUUCUUCAUCAGUUCAAGACUUACUAGCAUCACUACCUGUGAAAAAGAUGAAACAACUUGGUGGUAAGCUUGGAAGUUCCUUGCAGGAUGAUCUUGGGGUUGAGACAAUUGGUGAUCUCCUAAGUUUUACAGAGGAAAAAUUACAAGAGCAGUAUGGAGUAAAUACUGGGUUUGACCAUAUAAUAUAUAUCCCUACUACUAUAUAAGCAUGGUGUGUAAUGGUAAGUAAUCGGAUCAGAAAAAUUCUGUACUGAAAAUAUUUUUGGAGCAACAUUAUCAUCAGAUGAGAACCUUUCUGUUGCUUUUGUAUUGUUCUUAUGUCAUUCCAUUGCUUUUGUGACAAUACUUUUAUAUCAAUGGGAUGCCCGUGAUUGCUAAAUUGGGUUAUUUUUGUGCUUCCAGGGUUUGGAAAAGGUUCUAGACGAACACAUGGUCAAAGUCUGCAAUGAUCAGUACAGUUUGACUGACAAAUAUACUGAUGGUUGGCUGU